UUGAAACACUGGUUCCUGUAUGAUCACUGAAGUUAAGCAAUGUUGAGCCUGGUCAGUACCUAGAUGGGUGACUGGUAAUACCAGGUGCUGUAAG
This 94-nucleotide ribosomal RNA is filed under the name Acanthosepion pharaonis. Lineage: Eukaryota; Metazoa; Mollusca; Cephalopoda; Sepiida; Sepiidae. The record is from RNAcentral.